GCUGGACAUACAACCGGAAUGAUCAAAUGUGGAGCUAGAGCUGCCUAGAUACUCUGCUUCAAAGGAUCCAGCUUCAUUUUUAAAACAAGAGUAGGCUGUGCUUCAGUGGACUAAUUUAUGGAAGAUGGAGACCGUGAGGGGCCUUGAAAUUAUAGCUCUGAUCUUUCAGAAACUACCUACCAAGGAUUGGGUCCUGCUGGCAGCAGCAGACUCAGAGUGUGGCUGGCUUAGCUGAGAGAGGAUGAAUCAUUUUAGGAAGAUGGUUCAUUCCAGUCUCUGAAGCAGUUCACGCUGUUGACUCUGGGCAGUAGCAUCUUUUCCUCACCUCGUAUUGCCAGUAACUGGAGCAAUAUGAGGUAGGGAGAAGAUGUCUCCAUGACCUGCUCCUUCAGAAGCUCUGUGCUUCAUCAAUAGUCAACUGAUAAACACUUUCCAGUGCCCAAAGCCAAAGGAUUGUGAUUGUUCUUUAUGUCACUUAUUUCUUUAUAGCUUUCCUUAUGUGGCUUAUUUUCCCCUCCAAUGCUGGAGGAUAAAGGAAUGAGGAAUUACAGUACUUUGGGAAACUUCAAAUGUUCAGAUCCAGCACUGAACUCUAUGAAUAAUUAUCUCCGUGUUGCAAGGUCCUCCAGUAGAAAGAGAAUGAAUAUUUCUGCCAGCUUUAGGGUAAUUUACUAAGGGAGAAAGAAGGCAAUUCCAACUUCCAUGAGCUGUGUCUUUGUACAACAUAAAAUAUCUAAGUCAUAAAUAAAAGUCUUAUAAAUGUUAAGACUAAUGAAAAAAUCAUGUAUCAAUAUGUUCAACACAUUUCUCUUGAUUGAAUAAGGCUUGGAGCAUAAUAUUUCUGUUUUAAAGAUUAUACCUAUACAUUUGUUCUUUCUUUGAUCUAUUUUAUGUCAAAUUUUUGUUCAAUAACAAAUCGUAAGAUUGUUCUUAUGAGAAAAUGUGAUAUUUUAUGAUGAUUCAUUUUAUUUUCUAUCCCUAGGCACUGUAUAGUAAAAAUUUGGAACCACA
RNAcentral lists this long non-coding RNA (1011 nucleotides) under Homo sapiens (human). RNAcentral describes it as "HSALNT0129527". Lineage: Eukaryota; Metazoa; Chordata; Mammalia; Primates; Hominidae. The record is from RNAcentral.